UUCGACCUGGAUCUGACGUGAUUACCCGCUGAACUUAAGCAUAUCAGUAAGCGGAGGAAAAGAAACUAACAAGGAUUC
RNAcentral lists this ribosomal RNA (78 nucleotides) under Ditylenchus destructor. RNAcentral describes it as "partial 28S ribosomal RNA". It matches the Rfam family "Eukaryotic large subunit ribosomal RNA", at positions 1 to 77 of the family's 3401-position model. Lineage: Eukaryota; Metazoa; Nematoda; Chromadorea; Rhabditida; Anguinidae. The record is from RNAcentral.